GGCCCGCUAGCUCAGAUGGUUAGAGCGCCAGCCUGUCACGUUGGAGGUCGCCGGUUCGAGCCCGGUGCGGGUCGCCA
Molecule: transfer RNA, 77 nt
Filed under: Clostridiales bacterium
Lineage: Bacteria; Bacillati; Bacillota; Clostridia; Eubacteriales
Description: tRNA-Asp
Rfam family: tRNA
About the family: Transfer RNA (tRNA) molecules are approximately 80 nucleotides in length. Their secondary structure includes four short double-helical elements and three loops (D, anti-codon, and T loops).
Source: RNAcentral